GAUGAACGCUGGCGGCGUGCCUAAUACAUGCAAGUCGAGCGAACGGACGAGAAGCUUGCUUCUCUGAUGUUAGCGGCGGACGGGUGAGUAACACGUGUAUAACCUACCUAUAAGACUGGGAUAACUUCGGGAAACCGGAUCUAAUACCGGAUAAUAUUUUGAACCGCAUGGUUCAAAAGUGAAAGACGGUCUUUCUGUCACUUAUAGAUGGUUCCGCGCUGCAUUAGCUAGUUGGUAAGGUAACGGCUUACCAAGGCAACGAUGCAUAGCCGACCUGAGAGGGAGAUCGGACACACUGGAACUGAGACACGGUCCAGACUCCUACGGGAGGCAGCAGUAGGGAAUAUUCCGCAAUGGGCGAAAGCAUGACGGAGCAACGCCGCGUGAGUGAUGAAGGUCUUCGGAUCGUAAAACUCUGUUAUUAGGGAAGAACAUAUGUGUAAGUAACUGUGCACAUAUUGACGGUACCUAAUCAGAAAGCCACGGCUAACUACGUG
Molecule: ribosomal RNA, 497 nt
Filed under: uncultured bacterium
Lineage: Bacteria
Description: partial 16S ribosomal RNA
Rfam family: Bacterial small subunit ribosomal RNA
Source: RNAcentral